GCCUCUUUUAUCAAGGACUACAAUCUCCUUCCUCAUUUGCCGUGGACAUGACCACAAAACAUUUCCCCAAUAGGUUUUUUCUGCUAUGUUGGUAGCAUAGCAUUCAUCCUACUGGGAACAUUU
This 123-nucleotide small nucleolar RNA is filed under the name Myotis lucifugus (little brown bat). RNAcentral describes it as "Small nucleolar RNA SNORA32 (ENSMLUG00000022511.1)". The record is from RNAcentral. Lineage: Eukaryota; Metazoa; Chordata; Mammalia; Chiroptera; Vespertilionidae.